Molecule: ribosomal RNA, 198 nt
Filed under: uncultured bacterium
Lineage: Bacteria
Description: partial 16S ribosomal RNA
Rfam family: Bacterial small subunit ribosomal RNA
Source: RNAcentral
ACGCUCGACACCUACGGGGGGCAGCAGUGGGGAAUAUUGCACAAUGGGGGAAACCCUGAUGCAGCGACGCCGCGUGAGCGAAGAAGUAUUUCGGUAUGUAAAGCUCUAUCAGCAGGGAAGAAAAUGACGGUACCUGACUAAGAAGCCCCGGCUAACUACGUGCCAACAGCCGCGGUAAUCUGAGCGGGCUGGCAAGGC